AAUAUCGUGGAAGACCGUCCCUGUGCCAUCCAAUUUCUCGUCGGAAAAGCUUCGCCGGCGUCGGAGGUAAGCCUCCUCCCCUUCCUCUCUCUUCUCCCUUCCUUCCCGUGCCGAGUGCACGCUCGCCGGCGACCAGAGUCGCCGGAUUUUGUUGCGGAAGAAUCUUCCUUUUUAUCAUUUUUCCAUCGUCGGUGGUCACCACCGACCACCUGUUUGGCCGCCUCUUGCCGUC
RNAcentral lists this long non-coding RNA (232 nucleotides) under Elaeis guineensis (African oil palm). RNAcentral's name for it is "long non-coding RNA (EGUI_LNC067292)". Lineage: Eukaryota; Viridiplantae; Streptophyta; Magnoliopsida; Arecales; Arecaceae. The record is from RNAcentral.